This 72-nucleotide transfer RNA is filed under the name Mustela putorius furo (domestic ferret). It matches the Rfam family "tRNA". From Rfam's summary of the family: Transfer RNA (tRNA) molecules are approximately 80 nucleotides in length. Their secondary structure includes four short double-helical elements and three loops (D, anti-codon, and T loops). Lineage: Eukaryota; Metazoa; Chordata; Mammalia; Carnivora; Mustelidae. The record is from Rfam by way of RNAcentral.
UCCUGGCUGGCUUAGCAGUAGAGUAUAUGACUCUUAAUCUCAGGGUUGUGAGUUCAAGCCCCAUGCUGGGUG